CAGGUGCUGCAUGGCUGUCGUCAGCUCGUGUUGUGAAAUGUUGGGUUAAGUCCCGCAACGAGCGCAACCCUUAUCCUUUGUUGCCAGCGGUUAGGCCGGGAACUCAAAGGAGACUGCCAGUGAUAAACUGGAGGAAGGUGGGGAUGACGUCAAGUCAUCAUGGCCCUUACGACCAGGGCUACACACGUGCUACAAUGGCGCAUACAAAGAGAAGCGACCUCGCGAGAGCAAGCGGACCUCAUAAAGUGCGUCGUAGUCCGGAUUGGAGUCUGCAACUCGACUCCAUGAAGUCGGAAUCGCUAGUAAUCGUGGAUCAGAAUGCCACGGUGAAUACGUUCCCGGGCCUUGUACACACCGCCCGUCACACCAUGGGAGUGGGUUGCAAAAGAAGUAGGUAGCUUAACCUUCGGGAGGGCGCUUACCACUUUGUGAUUCAUGACUGGGGUGAAGUCGUAACAAGGUAACCGUAGGGGAACCUGCGGUUGGA
RNAcentral lists this ribosomal RNA (487 nucleotides) under Salmonella enterica subsp. enterica serovar Muenchen. RNAcentral describes it as "bacterial SSU rRNA". It matches the Rfam family "Bacterial small subunit ribosomal RNA", at positions 1035 to 1522 of the family's 1533-position model. Lineage: Bacteria; Pseudomonadati; Pseudomonadota; Gammaproteobacteria; Enterobacterales; Enterobacteriaceae. The record is from RNAcentral. RNAcentral also lists the same sequence under 4 other names.